AAAACUUUUAAGAUGCUUUUUGCAACGUCAAAACCUUCAAUCAAAUAAAGUGGUACUAACCACCAUGGCAUAAUUCAGUAAACGAUGCUCAAAGAAAGUUAAAUAUCGUAAAUACCUUAAAUCAACAGAAAUAAAUAAUAAAAUAAGAAGAAAAACCAAAGUUUGCCUCUAACCAAAAGUAAUUUGGAAUGGUUUGGUAUAAAAAUGCAAAUGCGGCUGUAUAUUAAACUUAUCGUCAAAUAAAUUCUCAAAAAUAAAGCCAGAUAGAAAACAAAAGGAAAACAAAUGAAAAAGCAAAAGUGAGAAAUCCGGCCCAGCCUUUAUCGCUCUUUGUUGCUGGAGUAAUCGUAACGGUAUCACCAUCGUCCGUUCCUGCAUCUGGAUUGGAUUCAGAAGAUGCACCGGUAUCUAAAGUUAAAAUUGUAGCACUUUGUUGUGCAAGAAGCGCUUGGAAAGUUUCAACAGCUGAUAUUUGCUCGCCAAGGCCAUAAUGAUCGUCCCAAGUACCGUUAUUCCAAUACCACAUGUAACCACAAGUGACACCAUCAGAUCCCCCACUACAAGCAAGGGCGGCAGCUUCUGCACUGCUUUGUAUAUAGGGCAGAAUAGUUUCAACGGUAUAAGGAGCUAACUGCAUCGUAUAACCAAGAAAUCGAGCUAGCAUUCCCUUAAAAGCAGUCUGGUCUGAAUUGCAAGAUUCAGUUGGCUCACAAGAAGGUUCAUAAAUAAUUUUGUCAGAAGUAAAAUAAUAAUCAAGUGCCUUAUUCAUUAAACCUUCCAUAUGGGUUUGCCACACAGAACUGCCAUUCGUAUAGUUAUAUAAGAAUGCAGUGCCAGCAAGGUAGACACCUACAUUGUAACUCCAUUGUUCAUUCGUAAUAGAACUACAAUUUGAAGUUACUGAAGCACCGUCAUAUACAGUAUAAUCGUCUAAAUCAACAAAACCCACAGUUGUAGACCAGUCCCAAACCUUUUGCGCAAGAUCAACAUAGGUAUCGUUGUUAGUAUAACGUGCAAGACGAGCAGCGAGCUGAAAAAGAAUUCCAUUACUAAUGGAGUUCUUAUAAGAAUAACCGUUAUUGAAAGAAUAUAUUUGCCAGCGGACACCACCACCACAUGAACUAGUAUCCCACCUAGACAUAAUUUCAUUAAACACGGCUUGAGCCAAUUCCGUAAAAGAGGCAGAACUAUCACCAGUAGUCAUGUUAACUUCUGCAGCUGACAUAGCACUGAGGCCCCAAAUACCUUGGUCGUCAUUGCCCAAAUCAAAUUUUUCGCUAUUAGGAGCAUAAUCGUUAUUGUCGCCUUUAUUCGCUACAAGGGCACUAAUUAGCAUGUCAAGAUGCGUUGUAUUUCCAGUUGCAGCAUAAGUGUCUGUCAUUGAAUUAAGGCCAGCUCCUGUCAUCCACCAGUAAGCUGUAAAUGUAUGAGAAGUGCUUUGAUAAUAAUUGAGCAUUCCGUCAGUGACGGUAGUCAAGGCACUAUUUAUGGAAUCUUAAAUAUGGUUAAUAAGAUAUAUUCAAAUUGGGUGCGAGACAACUGGCAGACUUACCAUCUGAAGUUACAUCAAAGUCAAAUGCAAACGCGAAAGAAAAAAGAAAGAAAAACUCAAAAAAAAAAGAUAAAUACCUCAUUUUUAUAAAAAACCACCAAUUUCUUUUAGGAUAAAAAAAUAAUAACGAAUGAAUACCUCCUUCAAAGAACGUUGAGAAGUAUGGCUUUGAGAUAGUUGUAUUGUUUACAAAUGCAACAAGCCUUGCUGCGCAAUGGCGCAGUAAACCUAUCAUAGCACGCUCCCACCUCACUAUUGCAACAAUGACAGCCAACAUUUAAAUCACUAUUCGUUAUAACGAUAUUUUUAAGUCUCAUUAAUUAGUAACCAAAUAAAUUUCAAUGCGAGCAAUUUUUGAAUGCAUUU
This 1918-nucleotide long non-coding RNA is filed under the name Schizosaccharomyces pombe (fission yeast). The record is from RNAcentral. Lineage: Eukaryota; Fungi; Ascomycota; Schizosaccharomycetes; Schizosaccharomycetales; Schizosaccharomycetaceae.